GGUCGCGUAGCUCAGCUGGAUAGAGCAUCUGCCUUCUAAGCAGACGGUCAAAGGUUCGAAUCCUUUCGCGAUCA
Transfer RNA from Lutibacter sp., 74 nucleotides. It matches the Rfam family "tRNA". From Rfam's summary of the family: Transfer RNA (tRNA) molecules are approximately 80 nucleotides in length. Their secondary structure includes four short double-helical elements and three loops (D, anti-codon, and T loops). Further hydrogen bonds mediate the characteristic L-shaped molecular structure. tRNAs have two regions of fundamental functional importance: the anti-codon, which is responsible for specific mRNA codon recognition, and the 3' end, to which the tRNAs corresponding amino acid is attached (by aminoacyl-tRNA synthetases). tRNAs cope with the degeneracy of the genetic code in two manners: having more than one tRNA (with a specific anti-codon) for a particular amino acid; and 'wobble' base-pairing, i.e. permitting non-standard base-pairing at the 3rd anti-codon position. The record is from Rfam. NCBI's taxonomy places the organism in Bacteria, Pseudomonadati, Bacteroidota, Flavobacteriia, Flavobacteriales, Flavobacteriaceae.